GGCGGGCAAGGGUCGCUCUCCGUCGCUCAAGCCGCCCUCUUUUGCCCACCUGAAGGGCGAGCGGGCAAGCAGCCGUAUCUUCGAAGGCCGCCGUGCCUCCAUCGCGGCGAAUGAAUGCCGGUAAUUAGGCUAACUUUCAUUGGCACCCCUUCCCGGCACCGAGUAACGAUCGCGGAGGGCCGGGCGGGCCUCAGCGCCACAGAGAACGGCGGGCGCGCGGCCCUUAGUGCUCUCCGCGACGCGAUCGUGGCUGGUGGCAAGGCUCAGGCCCCGCGCUGCUCCCCCCGUCGCUCCUGGUCCGCGCUCACGCCUUCUCGCACCAAGAGCUCCUGCAGGACUCUCCACGGCCGCCGAAGGAGACCAUGCUAGAGAGCGGCCCGCGGCGCUCGCUCUCAAGUUCCGUGUCGCGAGAGCUCACCGCGAAGGCUGACUGAGGUCGAUCAAAGCAAAAGGCCGAUUGAUAACCUCUUUAGUUCACGUCUCGGAACGCCAAAAUAAAUGGGCAACGAGUGGUUCGGGCAGUCAAGCAUGCCCAAGAGAGGCGAGGCGGUCCCAGUGCUCGCCUGAACACUGAGGUGAGCACAGGUUCAUUCUCCUCCUCCUCCUCCUCAGCCUCCUCUUCA
Penaeus vannamei (Pacific white shrimp) is the source of this 623-nucleotide non-coding RNA. Lineage: Eukaryota; Metazoa; Arthropoda; Malacostraca; Decapoda; Penaeidae. The record is from RefSeq and is a predicted model, not a curated record.